UGUUGUAUUUUGUCAAAAGCAGUUAUUUCCCGUUGUAUUUUGUCAAAAGCAGUUAUUUCCAUACAUUCCAGAACAAACUAUUUACAAGCCCCUAUUGUUUUUUAUUCUAACAAUUUUAAUUGAUGAAAUUCUCUUAAGCUAUGUAUAGAUUUUACCAGAUAAUUUUAUUAUAAAAGCACUUCAAAAUGUAUUUUUGUGUUCAUAAUGUAAAUAAAUUCAUUAAAACUAGAAAAUACAAUUUGGGCGCAUACCUAUAUUUUUUUUAUUACUUGCAAUUUUUAUAUAAAAUGGAAAUGCUGCUCAAGGGAGUGAACUCUAUAUGGAAAUAACUUGAACAGGAAAUUGUUUUUGUGUCUUGAUUUUCAACUGUAGAAACUUUUUACUGGUAACCUAAUAUUAAAAACCUAUUCUUCAUAUGAUUUCUAUUUAAAUUGAAUCUAGUAUACUUGAAUACAUCGCACAUUCUCCAUGCCUGUAUAUGUAUAUAUUACAUUUCAUCUUUUAUGCAAUAAAUUGCAAAACGUCAAUUUUAUUUAUCAUACAACAUUUUAUUUCUCAGUGUAUAAUUGAAUGUUCUGACAUUGAUAUAAUGUUGUUCUUAUUUAUUUUCAGUUCAACUAUUAUUAAUAAUGGCAAUGCUAAUAGAAAAUAAAAUUGAUCUUGUUUUGAUAGGUGAAACUUUUUUUUCCAAUGGUGCUUAGGUUUUAAAACUGGGUACUAAUUUAUCAACAGUAAACAGUAAUUUUCUGUACGGUGGUUUAUUUCAUAAAUAUGUUACUGAAAGACACAAAUGUGGACGUAUGAGGAAAACAUUAUUUGCAUUAUAAUCAUAAAAACAAAACAUGUGGCUUUGCCACUUGUUUACCUCUUCCUCUCUAAAAGAAUAAUUUGGUGUGGAGAGAAUUUUAUGGCUGUUGAGUGUGAGCAAAUUAGCUUAAUUUUUUCAAAAUGACAUAUCUAAUGUAAUGAAAUAAACUUUCAAUAUAUAUAUAUGUACACAUAUACAGGAUAAUUCCAAGUUAAUCCUUACAUAGUUAAACUAUUACAUAAAUGAAGGUAUUUUAAACAUUUUCACCCAAAUAAAAAAAAAAGUUUUUU
Molecule: non-coding RNA, 1098 nt
Organism: Biomphalaria pfeifferi
Lineage: Eukaryota; Metazoa; Mollusca; Gastropoda; Planorbidae
Source: the annotation of a GenBank genome assembly